RNAcentral lists this transfer RNA (85 nucleotides) under Bos taurus (domestic cattle). It matches the Rfam family "tRNA". From Rfam's summary of the family: Transfer RNA (tRNA) molecules are approximately 80 nucleotides in length. The record is from Rfam by way of RNAcentral. Lineage: Eukaryota; Metazoa; Chordata; Mammalia; Artiodactyla; Bovidae. RNAcentral also lists the same sequence under 2 other names.
GACGAGGCAGCCGAGUGGUGAAGGCGAUGGACUACUGCUAAUCCACUGUGCUCUGCACACGUGGGUUUGUAUCCCAUCCUUGUCA